GAUCCUGGCUCAGGACGAACGCUGGCGGCGUGCUUAACGCAUGCAAGUCGAACGAGAAUCUGUGGAUCGAGGAUUCGUCCAAGUGAAGCAGAGGACAGUGGCGGACGGGUGAGUAACGCGUGAGGAACCUGCCUUUCAGAGGGGGACAACAGUUGGAAACGACUGCUAAUACCGCAUGAUACGUUUUAGGGGCAUCCCUGAGACGUCAAAGAUUUAUCGCUGAAAGAUGGCCUCGCG
This 237-nucleotide ribosomal RNA is filed under the name uncultured bacterium. RNAcentral describes it as "partial 16S ribosomal RNA". It matches the Rfam family "Bacterial small subunit ribosomal RNA", at positions 15 to 235 of the family's 1533-position model. The record is from RNAcentral.